CUGAUGUGAACUUCCUCUUCUCCCACUCUCUUCCUCUCUAAACUCACUGACAUUAUCUCCCAGCCUCUCCUCCUUUCAGCCUCUGACGAAGAGGCGGCCCUUCUUCUUGCCAAGCCCUUUGCAGUAUGACUUCCAACAUCUUUCGACUCAAAUGGCUCUCUACAAAGUCCCGAUGAUCUCUUCGUUACAGAAUCUGAUAGUUUUCCCACACGAGUAAAGGGGUGAAGAUUUGAAGAUAAAACCAAGAAUUCUACUGAGUAUUCUAGCCCAAGAAGGCUUCUCAGAAGCCUUGUAAACUAUGUCCUGAUAGGCAGAAAAGAAACUGUGAGGACUCCAAGCUUUUUCUAGGAUUCUGGAGAGGAGGAACAGGUAGGGGUAAAAAAACCUGCUGAAUGAAUCUUUGGAAUUUUCGAGAGGAUGAGUCCAGUGUGUUAUCUGGAGCAGAAGUCAACAGAACUCCCACUGAGUGAGAUAUAAGGGGAUCCUAGGUAUACUGACAUCAUCUUGGGAGAACGUAGCAAAACACUGGCUAUAGGGAUGCCAAGCAAGUCUGCUGUAGGGAUAGGUGAUCAGCUAUAGAGAUCAGCUGUGUUAGCUGACUUUUUUGAAUCUCAAAUUAAGAAUAUGAGAAUUCCCUCAGCAUAUAGCAUAUAGCAUAUCUCAUUUUUGCAGAAAGUAUAUAAUAAUUUGCUUUCAGAGACCUCAGCUUAAAGGAGUGUGUAAUUAGAAUCUGUUCCCCAGGACUCAAAAUCCCAGCAUCCCAUGAUCCUUCUCACGUUAUGUCCUUAAUGUUUAGAAGAUUAAGUUUGUGUGUGACCAAUGCCCCUCUCUUUUUUCCCCACUAAUGUGGUUGGGAAAACUUCUUUUUACUCAGGUUUUUACUUUUGUCCUUUUAUUUCUUCUAUUUCUAGUGAUUAUUAAUAAAUCAUAUAAAAUAUAAUACUUGGAAUUAUUAGAUAUUAAUUUUAAUCUUACAGGAGUAUAAAUACAUAUGAAAAGUCUGGUUAGAGGUUGAAACUAUCACUGAAAACAAAUGAGUCAAAUAAAUACGAUACUGACUUACAUCUCCU
Monodelphis domestica (gray short-tailed opossum) is the source of this 1070-nucleotide non-coding RNA. The record is from RefSeq and is a predicted model, not a curated record. Lineage: Eukaryota; Metazoa; Chordata; Mammalia; Didelphimorphia; Didelphidae.